This 503-nucleotide ribosomal RNA is filed under the name uncultured bacterium. RNAcentral's name for it is "partial 16S ribosomal RNA". It matches the Rfam family "Bacterial small subunit ribosomal RNA", at positions 30 to 523 of the family's 1533-position model. The record is from RNAcentral.
AUUGAACGCUGGCGGCAGGCUUAACACAUGCAAGUCGAGCGGGGUGAUGGUGCUUGCACUAUCACUUAGCGGCGGACGGGUGAGUAAUGCUUAGGAAUCUGCCUAUUAGUGGGGGACAACAUCUCGAAAGGGAUGCUAAUACCGCAUACGUCCUACGGGAGAAAGCAGGGGAUCACUUGUGACCUUGCGCUAAUAGAUGAGCCUAAGUCGGAUUAGCGAGUUGGUGGGGGAAAGGCCUACCAAGGCGACGAUCUGUAGCGGGUCUGAGAGGAUGAUCCGCCACACUGGGACUGAGACACGGCCCAGACUCCUACGGGAGGCAGCAGUGGGGAAUAUUGGACAAUGGGGGGAACCCUGAUCCAGCCAUGCCGCGUGUGUGAAGAAGGCCUUAUGGUUGUAAAGCACUUUAAGCGAGGAGGAGGCCCUUUUGGUUAGUACCCAAGAUGAGUGGACGUUACUCGCAGAAUAAGCACCGGCUAACUCUGUGCCAGCCGCCGCCGUAA